Molecule: non-coding RNA, 61 nt
Filed under: unclassified sequences
Source: RNAcentral
CGAGAAUAGAGUAGCAGGGUGGUGUCUCCUGCGUUCGCUACGCGGAUCUUCCCUGCCACGG